ACUCAAAGUCUUGGAGUUGAGACACAGAGAGAUUGAUAAUUUCCCUCUACAGAUACUAAGCCUCAUCUGGUUGAGGUUCCUAUCAUUGCUCUGCCGUGAGAAUUUAGACAUACCUCCAGAAAUUUGUAGGUUAUGGAAUCUGCAGACAUUCAUUGUUCAAGUGCCCAGAUUUGAUGGACCAGUUAAAAUAACUUUUCCUGAGGAAAUUUGGGGACUAAUGCAAUUAAGCAUCUCAAACUGCCCAUAUUUUAUUUGCCAGAUUGCCCGAGUGGAUCUGUUGACAAAGGAAGGCCUUUGAAUAUUUCAAACAUACAAACUAUUUCUUACUUGUCUCCACGUUGUUGCACGAAGGAGGUUAUUAUGGGGAUUCAGAAUGUCAAAGAAUUAGGAAUCUGUGCAUAUGGGAUUGACUCUGAUGGGCUUCGCAACAAUCUUGUCCAUCUGCAGCAACUUGAAACAUUGAGUCUUAAAUAUUAUUUUAGUGGAUUUUUUCCAGCAAGUGCAAAAGCUUUUCCAGCAACGCUCAAGAAGCUGAAGUUGGAAAGAACGUUGCUAAGUUGGUUGUACUUGGACAUCAUAGCUGAAUUGCCUAACCUCGAGGUGCUGAAGCUGAUGGAUGGUACUUGUGUUGGAAAAAAAUGGUAUCCAAAUGUCAGGGCAUUUACUCGAUUGAAGCUUUUGUUAAUUGAAUAUAGUUUUCUCAAGUACUGGAAAGCCACAAAUGACAAUUUUCCUGUCCUUGAGCGCCUUGUGCUUAAAAACUGCCAUAAUUUGAAAGAGAUACCCAUUGAGUUUGCAGAAAUCCACACACUACAACUGAUUGAGUUAACAAGUUGUCUUCCCGAACUUGGGGAAUCUGCAGNNNNNNNNNNNNNNNNNNACUCUUUCUCAAUUCCACAAGUCAAGUUGUACACAAAAGUUAUUUAGCUUUGCUCCAUAUUCUUUCACAAAAUAACUUUGACAAAUUUGGUUAAAACCGUACUUAAAAUGUGAGAAAAAAUAACAAGAAUAUCCCUUAUAUUUGAGGGUAGUUCAAAAUGGCUCCUUAAAUAUAUUUUUGAGCAGUUUUGGUACUUUAGUUUUGUUAAAACUCAUGAGAAUACAUUAUGUAAAUAACUACUAAUCAGUUAGUUGGUACUGUUCCAUUGAUUUGUUAGCUAGUGUAUUAGGUGAUUAGUUAGUCGAAUCAGUUAGCUAGCUGUCAAGUUGAUUAGUGGCCCAAUCAAGUAGUAAGGAGGUUGUUAGGAAACUUCUAGAAGACCAUGUGUUGAUCAUGUGAGUCAAUAAAUAGGAGGUGAUCAUACAUUGUAUUGACUAACUUUUACUCUAAAACUGUAUUCCCAGUAACUUGUUCCCUUCUCUUAUCCCUUUGUUGAGCUCAAGCUCAGCUGUAAUGGCAGCAAUGUACGAAUGCUAAGAGGUGUUUUAACAUGGUAUCAGAGCCCGCGAUUAUGGGACUCAAGAAACAAGCUAUCGAGUAUAAAUGUAUCUGCAAUACAGUAAGUUUUGCCUGAGUUUUUGUUUGUGUGUUAGUGAGGUCAGAAGAACUUAGAUCUCUAUUUGUGAGCCAUAGAUCUAUAGUUGCAGGACAUAGAUUUCGAGUUUACUGUGUUGUUUUUGAUCCAAGAUUAGUUGUAAUCUAUAAAUUGGUUAUGGCACCUAAAAUUGAUUCUAGUGAUCCUCUGUUUCUGGGAGCAUCAGAUAUAGCAGGAGCUGCACUGAUUCCCAUCAAAUUAACUGGUUCAGAGAACUAUGGAAUUUGGUGUAGAUCUAUGAAGAUUGCCCUAUUGGGAAAGAGGAAAUAUAGAUUUGUAACUGGUACUUGUAGCAAGGAAAUAUAUAGAGAGGAGUUACAUGAUCAAUGGGAGACAUGUAAUGCAGUAGUACUCCCAUGGCUAAUGAGUUCAGUAAGUGCAGAAUUAUUCAGUGGUAUUGUAUAUGCAACAAAUGCUCAUGAAGUAUGGGUGGAUCUUAAGGAGAGAUUUGACAAGGUAAAUCACAUGAGACUAUACCAAUUACACAGGGAAAUCAAUAAUCUUCACCAAGGUACUGAUUCAGUUUCAACUUACUUUACUAAACUGAAGAACUUAUGGAGUAAACAUGAUGCAGUCAUACCAACUCCAUCAUGUAAUUGUCCUAAGUCGAAGGAGUAUGCAGAAUAUUUGUAUCAGUUAAGGCUAAUACAGUUCUUGAGUGGGUUAAAUGAUGCAUAUGAUAGGCAAAAAGACAAAUAUUGAUGAAAGGAAUAACACCUGCACUUAAUCAAGCAUAUGCAAUGAUCAGUGAGGAUGAAAUUCAAUAGCUUGCUUGUGCUACAACUAUUGGUGAUAAGACUGAACCUAUUGCUAUGCAAUUACACAGAAAAAAUGCAGAGGUUGGAAUGGAAGUAGGAAUCAAGCAUCAAUAAGUUUUGGAGGACAAGGCUAUAAAGGUAAAAGGUGUGAUUACUACAAUUUUACUGGGCAUACAAGGGAAAACUGCUACAAGUUCCAUGGAUAUCCAAGUGAUUGGAGGAACAAGAAAAGGGGAAUACCAAAUCAACCAUUUCAUAAUGGCCAAGGCAGAGCUGGUCAUGGAUAUGGACAUUCAAUUGCUGGUUACAACAACAGUCAGUCAUUAACUCAUAACAUCUCUGGUCCUUAAGCAGAGAACUCAUGCUUGGAUAAGCAAUCCAGUAGGUAGGGGGUAAAGACAUUAACAAUGCUACUUUGGCCAAGGGGGAAGGAUUAUCAGAGGAAGAAUACAAUCAGAUUAUAGCACUGAUUAACAAGGAAACACAUAACUCUGAACAGAACAACAUGACAGGUAAUGUUAGUUAUUUCUCUAGUCAUAUUAUUUCACAUGAUUGGAUAGUAGAUUCAGGAGCCACACACCAUGUAGCAGUACAUAAAGUUAUUUUCUCAUACUGUCACAAAGUGGAUAAUACCAUAUGUGACAAAGUUAAUCUGCCUACUGGAGCCAAGGUUGAAAUAACACAUAUAGGAGAAACACAGGUGCUGAAGGAUGAAGUUGUGGGGGAUGUACUGUAUGUUCCAGAUUUCAAACUGAACUUGUUCUUAGUAUCUAAAAUGACUAAGCAUCUUUCUUGCUUUGUUUCAUUUUACCCUGACUUCUGUGUGUUUCAGGACCUUCAUAGUGGCAAGGUGAAGGGGAUUGGUAAGGAGAAAGAAGGACUAUACAUCCUGAAGAAUGUGUGUGAAGUAAAUGGAACUCUUAACAAUAAGAAUCAUCAAAUAUAGGUUGCAGGAGUAGAAGUAGAAGUGCAGAUGCAUGGGUGUAGUCUAUGGCAUAAAAGGCUGGGACAUCCUUCUUCUCAAGCAUUAAAGAUUCUCAAUAUCAUAAGGCACAGUAGUGAUGUAGAUAUUCUAAAUAAGUGUCAUGUUUGUCCAUUAGCAAAACCAACUAGGCUAGUUUUUCCUAUCAUUACUUCCAAAGCUACAAGAUGUUUUGAUGUUGUACAUAUGGACCUCUGGGGUCCCUAUAAGACACCUACUUUUGACAAGAAAUACUAUUUCUUAACUGUUGUUGAUGAUCAUAGUAGUUAUACAUGGUUACAUCUAUUAUAACUAAAGUCUGAUUGCAUUGUAGCCAUAAAGAACUUCUUCACUAUGAUUUAGAAUCAGUUUGGUGUUCAGAUAAAGCUACUGAGGUCAGAUAAUAGGACAGAGUUCAUUAACUCUAAAUGCAAAGAGUUGUUUCAAUCCUUAGGAAUCAUAAAUCAAAGUAGAUAUCCAUACACACCACAACAAAAUAGUGUGGUUAAGAGAAAGCAUAGAUAGAUACUAAAUAUUGCAAGAGCAAUCAGGUUCCAGUCACAGAUGCCUAUUAGAUUUUGGGGGUUAAAUAUUAAAGCUGCUGUAUAUCUCAUUAACAUACUACCAUCUUCAUCCAUAGAAGGUAAAAGUCCUUAUGAGAUGUUGUUUUGCAAGGUUCCAUCCUUGACACAUCUAAGAGUGAUUGGAUGUAAAUUUUAUGCCUUAAUAUUGCCAAGAGGUGAUAAGCUUGUAGAAAGGGCCAAGAUUGCAGUAUUGAUGGGCUAUUCUGCAACUCAGAAAGGUUAUAAACUAUUAGACUGGUGUACUAAUAAGUUUUUUGUUACCAGAGAUGUAGUGUUCAAGGAAGAUUCAUUUCCUUUUAUAGAGGAGCCAAGUUCAGAAUCUUCUGUAGAAUUUCUUACACUAAGAUCUCCCACACAUGAUGAUGCAGAAGUAGAAGAAGAUGCAGACCGUCACACAGGUCCUAGUGAGCCUUUACACGAGUCACAAACUGAAGAUACAUCAAUACAUGAUCCUAAUGGCAUUUAAGAAGAAUACACUCAUAAUUUACAGAAUGUAGAAGAGUCACUCUCAGUACCCACAGAAGUUGAACUAAGAAGAUAAUUCAGAGCUACCAAACAACCUGUAUGGCUAAUGGAUUAUGCUUCACCAGGGAAGAGGAGAGGAAAUGGAUACCAACUUGCAAAUUACCUGUCUUAUGCUAAUACUAGUUCAAAAUAUCAAGAUUUUGUGUGCAGCUUGUCCGCAGAAGUUGAACCACAAUCUUAUAAUAAAGCUAGCAGAGAUAAGAGGUGGAUUGAAUCCAUGAAGUAGGAGGUUAAAGCUCUUGAAGAAAACCAUACAUGGGAAGUGGUUGAUAUGCCCUCAGAAAAGAACAUCAUUGGAUCAAAAUGGGUGUACAAAAUCAAGUAUAAGGCCAAUGAGGAAAUAGAGAGGUUUAAGGAAAGGUUGGUAGCCAAAGCUUAUAGUCAACUGGAAGAGCUAGACUACCAUGAUACAUUUUUUCCAGUAGCCAAAAUGGUUACAGUAAGGAGUGUCAUUGCCUUAGUAGUAUCAAAAGGGUGGUGCAUAUACCAGAUGGAUGUAUACAAUGCUUUCCUACAAGGUGACCUAGAUGAGGAGGUGUAUAUGGAAAUGCCAAAUGGUUUCAAGGAGGGAAGGCAACACAAAGUUUUCAGACUAAUUAAGUCUAUAAAUGGACUUAAGCAGGCAUCAAGGCAAUGGAAUAUCAAGCUGACUGCAGCAUUGCUCAGUGCAGGUUUUACCUAAAGCAUCUAUGAUUAUUCAUUAUUUACCCUGAAGAAGUCAGAAGGAAUAGUGGUGAUUUUAGUCUAUAUAGAUGAUCUUCUGAUAACUAGUGACAAUACAGACAUGAUCAAUGCAGUAAAAGGUACUUUGCACAAGCAAUUCAAGCUCAAAGAUCUAGGUGAACUUAAGUAUUUCCUAGGUAUUAAAGUGUUAAGAUCUGCCAGUGAAGUGAUUCUGAAUCAUAGAAAAUAUGUCUUGGAGCUCAUAUUCGAAACAGGUCUUGAUGGUGCCAAACCAGCCACCACCCCACUAGAGACUAAUGCUAAAAUAACUUCAGUUGAAGUAGAUAAAGCAGCAGGUGUGAAAGGAGAUGCCAUUCAAAGAGAUACAACAUCAUAUCAAAGGCUUGUUGGAAAACUGAUGUAUGCUACAAUAACAAGUCCUGACAUCAGUUAUGCAGUGCAGACACUAAGUGAAUUCAUCCAACAACCAAAGAAAUCCCACUUGGAAGCUGCAAACAGAGUGAUAAGAUAUUUGAAAGGAACUGUAGGACAAAGUAUAUGGCUUAAGACACAACCUACUGCAGAAUUGGUUUUUUGGUGUGACUCAGAUUAGGCUGCAUGUCCAAACACUAGGAGGUCUGUUACAGGUUAUGUGGUGUAGUUUGGUAGUUCAUUGAUAUCUUGGAAGUCUAAAAAGCAGCACACUGUCUCUAGAAGCUCAGCUGAGGCAGAAUAUAGGAGCAUGGCCUCAACAUUAGCAGAAGUGACAUGGUUGGAAGGUCUGUUCUCAGAACUGAGGGUGUCUAUCACUAAGCCUAUUGUCAUCUUUAGUGAUCAUAAGUCAGCCAUCCAACUAGCUGCUAACCCCAUAUUUCAUGAGAAAACCAAACACAUUGAAGUAGAUUGUCAUUUUAUUAGAGACAAGAUCAAAGAGGGGUUGGUUCAGCCCAUGUAUGUGCAGACAGGUCAACAAGUUGCAGACAUCCUUACUAAGGGUCUCAGUCAUGAUCAACAUUCAUACCUCCAUAGCAAGCUUGGUGUGCUCAAGAUUUUGCACCCUGCAGCUUGAGAGGGAGUGUUAAAACUCAUGAGAAUACAUUAUGAAAUAACUACUAAUCAGUUAGUUGGUACUGUUCCAUUGAUUUGUUAGCUAGUGGAUUAGGUGAUUAGUUAGUCGAAUCAGUUAGCCAGCUUUCAAGUUGAUUAGUGGGCCAAUCAAGUAGUUAGGAGGUUGUUAGGAAACUUCUAGAAGACCAUGUGUUAAUCAUGUGAGUCUAUAAAUAGGAGGUGAUCAUACAUUGUAUUGACUAACUUUUACUCAAAAACUGCAUUCCCAGUAACUUGUUCCCUUCUCUUAUCCCUUUGUUGAGCUCAAGCUCAGCUGCAAUGGCAGCAAUGUAUGAAUGCUAAGAGGUAUUUUAAUAGUAACCACCAUUUUUCUGCUUUUCGCUCGAGGACUAGACUUGGAUGAACCUCGUUAAAUACUUGUAUUAGGUUUUUUUGAGUUAAUGGCAAAAAACACAUUUGAACUAUCACCUGCCAUUAAAUUACAAUAAAAAUAAAAUGGAAAAUGAAUAGUAGAUGUUUGCUCUCUUUGUUUUCAUCUGCACACGAAUUUUAAGGUGCCGAUUGUAUAAAUUCUAGUAAAAUGAGGUUUACUUGGAUUCAACUCUUUUAUGAAAUAAUUGAAAUACUUUGUAUUAAUUUUAUCAAGGUAAGUAUAUAUUUAUGAAGGUUACACACUAUUUCUCAUUUCCACAAGUCACAUCAUACAGUGGUACAAUCACAUGAUGAUGAUGAUGAUGAAGAUUCAAAUGUUGAUGUUGCAGAACAUGAUGAUAAUUUAGAUCUUCGGUUGUUAUCUGUUCAGAAUAACCUGUAAUGAGAAUGGAAACUAUAGAUUAACAAUUUGAUACUGUUAUAGACUGUUGAUGCUAGUUCAUAACCCUAUGUUUUUCAUAAAUAUAAAUUUAUUACCAAUGUGGGACAAUUGGUUCAUAAAUUUUUACCCUCUUAUCAUUUCUCUAUUUUUCCAAUGUGGGACAAUUGGUUCAUAAUAGUAGCGUUAUUUAUUAGAUGUACGGGAAUGGGCAUUUAUAUGGUGAUUCUCUUGUCUUACUUUUUACUGUUGAUGUUAGGUACUUUUAACUGUUUGUAAAUGAAGCAUUACCAUCCGAAUUUGAGACUAUCGGGAAGCAGGUUAUAGACAAAUGUCAUCUCGAUUGUUGGGAUUUUGUCAAAAUCUAAAGACAUUGGAAGAUUCGAAAGAUGUCAAGUCAUUUGCAACAGAUGAUCCUGAUGAACAACGUUUACAUGUCUUCUGUUCUUUCGGAAUUUUUCAAAUAAGACAGUGAGAAUUCAGUGAAGAAAUUGGUGAGAUUAUGUAUAGAUAGGACACUGCACUCAUUCUGUUCUCUUUUUCCCUAUACAAGUUUAUGUUUUUUUCUCAUAAACUGUGAACCUUAAAUUCAGUUAUGCUAAUGACUUCAAAUGCAAGCAUUUAUAUCAGUCAUAUCCAUGCACCGAUACAUCAGAAAAGGAAACCGAGGUAGCAAAGACUAUUCAGUAGAUCGUGCAUAACCUAAGAACUUACUAAGAACUAGUUCAAUCUCUUAACUGAAUAACUCACUAAUUAAGUCGACACCUCUCGGUUCACUGACCUUAUCAAAAUGUAUGUUUUAGUUUUAAAAGCAAUUACUGAAAGCUCAUUUCGGAAUAUAUGUAAUAGCCCAAUAUAUAUUUUUAAAAUGAAGGAUUAAUUGGUAAUUUUAACCAAUUAUUAAUGUCAAUUAAGUGAAUUAAAUUGGGCAAGCCAAAAGCCGAAACCCUUUUUCUUCUUUAGUUUUUCCGUUACUGAAGGAUUAGAAUAUAAGGGUGUUUAGUUCCAUUAUUUUUGGUACAAAAAAAAAAAAAAAUUAGCACUAUGAGCUAGAAGUCUUUUUACUUUUGUUUGGGCCAUGGCGGCCAGUGCUCCUAAGAUCACAGAAGCAAUGCUGCAGAAAAAGAAGAUUUGUUGCACUGUAGCCCCAUAAGAACCAUAAAUAGAAACCCAUGAAAUAUUAGCAGAAAUAGAGAUUUUAGGCGCAAUUCAUAGGAUAUAUAUGAGUAAUUCAAAGGAAAUAUUGAAAUAUUUGAUAGGAUUGGUUAUGUUAGCAGAUAGAUUAAAGAUGUGAACACCGUAACUUCUCCUGCCAUAUGAAGGAACUCUUCUCUUAAGGCAUAACUUUUUGUGAGUUCAAAGACGGCAGAAACUGUUUCAAGUGAGAAGCAGUAGGUAUGUAGAAUUAGUUCUAAUUCAAAUUAGCACUAUGCUAUGGUAGUGGUAUUCUUGUCGAAGAAUUGUUAUGUAUUAUUCGAGAGAUGAUGGUCCAUCAUUAUGGGUAGCUUGAAUUAGUACGCAUCUUACAAAAUAGUAAAGUAUGGUCUCUGAUUUGUAUCUUUGAGCUACUGCUUGUUGGAAAUUGUUGGAAAUUAUUGAUUUUCACCUUGAAUUGCCUAUACAAAGUGGAGUAUUAAUAUUAUUGAACACGAGUAUGAUUUCAACUAGCAUAAUUGAUUUUAUUAAUUAAUAUAUUUGCUUAGAUUGAAGCCAUUGGAGUCUAUUUGGUUGAUGUUCUACGAGUUGCGAGGUUGGGAAAAGUGUUGUUAGCGAGGGUAGUGAGACUUCAAGCUUUGGUGCUUGCUUUUUAAAUCAGCUUUAUAAAAAAAUGUAUUUUUCUACCUAGUCCAUGUGUUGGGACAAGAGUGUUCUUGGUAGAAUUGGUGGUCUUUGAUCAACUGCGGAUAUAUAUUUUGUUAUGCAUAUUGAGAAUCAUUUGAUGGUGAGUUGUGAGGUGAUGUUGGGAUAUUGGAUAUAUUUACAAGGAGAAUAUAUGUGCUGACGUAAUAUAUUAGGGGCAUACCUAUGCUGCCGUAAUAUGUUAGGGGCCUUGUACUUGCUGUCAUGAUAUAUUUACUAGGGGCAUACAUGUGCUGCCGAAAUAUGAUAGAGGCAUACCUAUGCCGCCGUAAUAUGUUAGGGGUCUUGUACUUACUGUCGUAGUAUACUUUUGGGGCAUUAUAUAUGUUGUCGUGGACUUGUCGGGGUGCUAGGCUGAUCACCUUCACUGUCGUUUAUAAAAAGCCGUGAGAGUGGAUUGCGUUGAGAGAUACAUAGUGACUUUUGAAAUGUUUGUUGAACCUUAUUGAGCAUUAUAUUAUAAGAUAUAUGUUGUGCAUAUCAUUUAUGUAAUCGUUGUGCGUUGUAUUUUCUAAUACUUAUUUCAGGGGUAUUAAAUUAGCAGGUCGGGGAUCUUAGUAGGUUAUAUUUAUAUAUAGCUCACUCCUUACUUUACUUUCAUGUCUGCAGAUACUUUGUGGAAGGUGAGAUUAGUGGCUAAUGGUCCAUUUGUGAGGAUAUUAUGUUGCUGAGGUGAGUCUUCACAUUGUUCGGCGGGGCUGUCGUUUCAGAUCGAGCUAUUUUAGCUUAUAUUUCUCUUCAUUGGUUUGCAUGCCUGAGAGUUGAAAUUAUCUAUCUCUAUUUUAGAUGCUUCAUGAUCUUAGCGUGGAAUUUCGGCUAGAGAAUAAGUUCUCGAGUCCAUUGCGUUUUGCACCCUAAUGUAUGACCUCUUUUGUGAUUUACACCCUAAGCUCUUAUCUUUCUUGCAAAAUAAUGAAACUACUCUUUUUCUAUAUUUUGCACGAUGGCAAAAUUGCAAUAUGAAUAUAUUUUAAAAAAAAAUAGCAUAGAAUUAUUUUUAAAAAAAGUGCUAAAUUAACCAAUUAAAAGGUCCGAUUCAAUAAAUAAUUUUGUAAAUGUUCCUUCUAUGGGUGAAAUCUUAUUAUUAAAAUUUUAAUUAGUGAUAAAAUGGAUAAACGAUUUAUUCUGAGAACUAAAACAAUUAGGUCUCUCUUAUUACUAUUUUCACAUAGAAGAAGAGAACAAAUUUUGAAUUUGGUUAGAUUAAGAUCUUCUAUUGUAUCACUAUCGAUCAGUUAUUUUUAUGACUCAUCACUUUUUGUAUGAUAUUUAAUAUAAGCUCAUAUAAUUUUUUACUAAAAUGGAUGAAAGCUUAUAAGGUCAUUAAAACUUUAAUUAGGUAUCUCGAGUAUGGGAACUCCUGAAGCAGCUACGACUUCCUCAAGACCUCGUUAUGCGUGCACCUGCUGAUCAAACUUCUGUGUACAUCAAAGUUUUUUUAAUUCUUAGAUUAUCCAACAACAAAAAAAAAAUAAUCAUCAAUGCACUUUUAUAUGCAUCAAUAUUAUUCAUCUGGUUUAUAUAUGCAAUGUCAAAAGCUGCCAAGCGAAAAGUGGGUAUUUGAUUUGUAGUUUAGAAUUGUCAUCUGAGGUAAACUUUUAUGUGGUUUUGACAUAAAGCUUUCUGAGUUACCCAUAAUCUUUAGAGAGCUGGGAAGAAUGUUGAUCCCGUGAAAAUGACAUAGACAAUCAUUUUUUAUUUAACAGUUUCUCUAGUUUUGUGCCUUUUUUUAGGAGAAAAAAAUAUUUAUAUUUCAAUUUUGCCCUCGUGGAAAAUUUUUUAAAAGAGUAAGUUUCAUUAUUUUGCAAGAAAGAUAGAAGGUUAGGGUGCAAAUUAUAAAAUAAAAUAGGAUAGGGUGCAAAUCACAAAAGAGGUCAUACGUUAGGGUGCAAAACGCAAUGAACUCCUAGUUAUUGAUGCGUUAGAGUUGCACAUAUCUUAGUGCUUAUUAAUUGAAAAAGUGUAAGGAAAGUUGGUUGUCCCAACAGGUGGUAUUAGCGGGUGCUAGUCAGGUCUAGGAAUUAUUUUGGGACGUGACAAUAUAGCUAGAAGGAUUGAAAUUCAAGAUUUUACUGUUUGAACUUUAAAUUUUACUGUUACAAUACUAUGUUUUAGCAUUAUUCUCUAACUUCCAAGGAGAUGUAAUUUCUCUAUAUUUUAAAUAAGGGGGCAUCUAUUUCUCGACCGCUUUGAACUGUUUAUCUUUUGCCAAGGUUCUAACGGAAACAUCGUCUCUACCUCUGACGGUAAGGUUUGCGUAUACUCUACCCUCCCCAGAUCCUACUAUAUGUAUAAAGCACUACAUUUUGUAGAAAUAAAGGACCAUUCAUUAUAUUACAGGGGCCUUAGUGAACCUACUAUGUAAAGUUAAGGGACUGUUUGGGCUGAUAAAUUCUGCAGAUAUAAUUUCAGCCACUCAAAUGUUAUCUUGUUUAGGUACUUUUAUCUUUUGUUCUUUAUACAUUUGUUUAUUGUUACUCAUAAUAUUGUCAUUUAUUCUUUCCUUUUCUCAAAUACCUUUUUCAGUGAUUUUGAAGCUGUCAGAUCUGCCAUUGAAAGGUUAGUUUCCAUUAAUUAUUCUCUCAUUUUAUUAAAGUUUUAGAGUAAAAAACACUUGUAGUGGCUUAUCAAUGUAUAAUUUAGCUAUGUUUCUCCAACUCCUGAAAAAUAACCACAAUCUAUUUUGCGUACUGGGAGUUAAAUUAUUUUUACACGUUAAAUGAGCUAAAGCUAGGACUAAACUCACUGUUGUAACAUAACUGACCUGAACAUGAAACAGACUAAUAAAUCGCCUGAUCUUGUUUGGUUUAUGCUUUCCUUUUUUGCCAAUCUGCGUAUCGCGUUAUUUAUAAUACCAUUGACAUCUUGCAACCCUGCAGGUUUCAGGUCAUAACCGCAAACGAAAGAAACGAGAAUACAGUGGAUAUGGCUCAUGCAAGUGUGGCUUCUCUUAUGAGAACAAUAGAAUCGCUCUUGACGUCCAAUUCACCAAUGCAAACUCUAAUCUGUGAUCACAGAGACGAAAUUUGCGCUCUUCAUGAAAAGAUUAGUUCCCUGGAAGUAUUUCUCAAGAACUUUGAGAAAAACAAUGUUUCUGGGGAACUGACAGAUUUGGAAGUGCAGAUAAAAGAAGUUGCAAAUAUUGUUGAACAAACAAUUCAACUAAGAGUAACUGAAGUUGUAUUGAAAAGGCACAUGAGAGUAAAGGCACAUGACAGGCUUUCUGAUAGCCUGCAACAAGUAGCAGAGGAUAUUGAUCGUAUUUGGAAAGAGUCGACAAAUAUCCAGGAUAAGGGCAAACAUGCAUCAAAGGAAUCAACGGUUCAAGAGUUUCUAAGCUCAUCAAGAAAUAUUCUGAAUGUUGAGAAUAGUAUGGUUGGACGUGAUGAUCAAAGGAAAGAGUUGGUAGAAGAUCUUACUAGAAGCUACUGUGGUGAACCCAAAGUCAUCGCGAUUGUCGGGAUGGGUGGCAUAGGUAAAACAACCUUAGCGAACGAAGUUUACAAUGAUGCGUGCAUUCGUUCUCAUUUUGAUGUUUGUGCCUGGGCUACUAUUUCGCAACAGCACAAUGUAAAAAAAAUCUUGUUGAGCCUUCUGCGUUCUACUAAGAGUGAUUCAUUUGACAUGAACAAUGAAGCAGAGCUUGCGAAUAUGCUACAAAAGAGUUUAAAGGGUAAGAGAUAUUUAAUUGUAUUGGAUGACAUGUGGAAAACUGAAGCAUGGGAUGCCGUGAGACUAUGCUUUCCAAGUGAAAACAAGGGGAGUGGAAUAUUAUUGACGACCUGUAACAUUGAAGUAGCUCGCGAUGCUGGUACAGAGAAUCUUUCUGCAGAUGGAUUUAAUGGGUCCAGAUGAGAGUUGGAACCUUUUCAAAAGUGUUGCAUUUGCAAAUGAAGCAUUACCAUCUGAGUUUGAGACUAUUGGGAAGCAAAUUGCAGAGAAAUGUCACGGGUUACCACUAACUAUUGCCGUGGUUGCUGGGCUUCUCAAAUCUAAAAGGGUAGAAGACUGGGAAAAUGUUGCUAAAGAUGUCAAGUCAUUUGUCACAAAUGAUGUUGGAACGAUGUUCACGUGUGCUUAGGUUGAGUUACAAUCACUUGACUAGCGAUCUUGUCUAAUGCAUUUCGGAAUUUUUCCAGAAGACAGUGAGAUACCAGUGAAGAAUUUGAUGAGAUCAUGGAUGGCUGAGAGGUUCCUAAAGUUUGAAAAUGACUUGGAAGGAGAGGCUGAGAAGUGUUUGCAAGAGCUUGUCGAUAGAUGUCUAGUCCUCAUCUGCAAGAAAAGUCUAGAUGGAACAAAAAUUAGAUCAUGUAAAGUUCAUGAUCUAAUAUAUGACCUGUGCUUGAGAGAAAUUGAAAGGGAGAACAUUUUUAUCAUGAACGACAUUGUGCUUGAAUUUGAUUCAGGAUGGACAUAUCUCAGUUUGCGAGAAAUGAAGCUCUUUAAACGCGUGACUGGUGAUGAAAUUGAUUAUUGUCGCUCUGGUCUUUAUAGGGCUCUUCUUACCCCUGUACAUCGUCAGUUGAGAGAUCAUGACAACAACAAUCUUUUCAAUCGAACCCGUUCUAUUUUCUCUUUUUACCCCUGUACAUCACAUCUUUUUCGCAAAUCAGAGCUUAUUCAUUUCAAAUUACUCAAAGUCUUGGAGUUGAGAAACAUAAAGAUGGAUCAUUUCCCUGUACAGAUUCUAAGCCUCAUCUGGUUGAGAUACCUAUUAUUGGAUUUCCGUGAGUAUUUAGACAUUCAUUGUUCAAGGGCCUAUGCUAUGGAAAAUAACUUAUCCUGAGGAAAUUUUGGGACUAAUGCAAUUGAGACAUCUCAAACUGCCCGAAUUUUAUCUGCCAAAUCCUCCAAGCGUAUCUGCUGACAAAGGGAGUCAUGUGUGUUUUUCAAACAUACAAACUAUUUCUUCCAUGUCUCCAUGUUGUUGCACGAAGGAGUUUAUUAUGAGGAUUCAAAAUGUCAAAGAAUUAGGACUCAGUGCAUAUCAGAUUGACUCUUCUGAUGGGCCUCUCAACAGUCUUGUCCAUCUGCAGCAACUUGAAACAUUGAGUCUUACAUAUCGUUUUGGAGGAUUUUGGCCAGCAAGUGCAAAAGCUUUUCCAGCAACGCUCAAGAAGCUGAAGUUGGACAAAACUUAUCUAAGUUGGUCGUACUUGGACAUCAUAGCGGAAUUGCCUAACCUUGAGGUGCUGAAGCUGAUGUAUCGUGCUUGUGAUGGCGAAGAAUGGCGUCCAACUGUUAUGGGAUUUAAUCGAUUGAAGCUUUUGUUAAUUGUACAUAAUGAUCUCAAGUACUGGAAAGCCACGAAUGACAAUUUUCCUGUCCUUGAGCGCCUUGUGCUUAAAGAAUGCCAUUAUUUGAAAAAGAUACCCAUUGAGUUUGCAGAAAUCCACUCACUACAACUGAUUGAGUUAAAUUGGUGUCUUCCCGGACUUGAGGAAUCUGCUGCACGAAUUCAAAAAGAACAAGAAGACAUCGGAAACAACCCCGUGGAUAUUCGUAUCUCCGAUCCAUGUAAGUAUAUAGUAUUUAUUAAGGUAACAUCCUAUUUCUCAUUUUCACAAGUCAAGUCGUACACAAAAGUUAUUUAGCUUUGCCCCAUAUUCUUUCACAAAAGUAACUUUGACAAAAUUUGGUUGAAAUCCUACUUAAAGUAUAAGAGAAAUUAACAAGAAUAUCCCUUAUAUUUGAGGGUAGUUCAAAAUGGCCCCUUAAAUAUAUUUUUGAGGAGUAAAUUUCAUCCAUGGUCACUUAACUUUCUAUCUAUUACCCAAAAGUCAUUUUUCUAUCAUUCAUGAUCACUUAACUUUGUAUCUAUUACCCAAAGUCACUUUUCUUUCAUUCACCUCAUCCAUAGUCAUUUAACUUUACUCCGACCAUUACAAAAGUCACUAUGACUGGAUUUUACAAUAAUUCUAUCGGAAUAAUGAUGUGGCAACCUUAAUUAGUUCUUAAUUUUAAUUUAGGUGAAUAUAUAAUAUAUUACUCAUAUCUUGACCCUUUUUAUAUAUACAACCCAAUUUUUUUAUGAAUUAUUUAAUGAAAGAAUAUGAAUUUCUUAAUAGAUUAGAUUACCUAAUGAAGACUAUUUUCAUAAAAAAAAUUUGGUUAAUAUUUUUCUGAAAUAAAAUUAUACUUAUAUAUUCUUAACAUCCUCUAAAGUUGAGACAUGUGUUGGUAAAUUAUUUUUUCCACUAAUAUUAUGGUAUAUAGUUGAUAAAAUUAUUUUUUUCCCUCUAAAAGUGUGACAUUUAGUUGAUAAAAUUAUUUUUUUCGUACAUUCUUUUUCUUGCCACUUGAGUAUUUGCAUUCGGUAUAUCAUAAUAAUAUGAUAAACUAGUUUAUUUAUUGAGUUUGUCUUUAUAUUUUUUAUUGUUUGACUAAUCAAUUAAUUCUCUUAAAAGUUUUUAUUAUAUAAUAUUCAAUUUCUGAUAAAUUACAUAUUGUUUAAUUAAUUUAAUUGAUAAAUAUAAAAAUUAGAUAUCUUAUAAUUUCUUUAUCUAUUAAAGUACUUAUAUUUUAUAACUUUUAUUAACAAAAUUGUACGUUAAUAUAACAUUAUUUGUACAAAUUUUGACAAUACUCAUUCAAUGACACAAUUAAAAAAAAUUAUUUUAAAACUAUCUUUAGCAUGUUGAUUUAUCUUCAAAGAAUUAAAAUAAUUUUUUUUAAAAAGAGUGAUGGCCGGAGUAAAGUUUAAUGACCAUGGAUGAAAUGAAUGAAAGAAAAAUGUCUUUUGGGUAAUAGAUAUAAUGUUAAGUGACCAUAGAUGAAAUGAAUAAAAGAAAAAUGACUUUUGAAUAAUAGAUACAAAGUUAAAUGACCAUGGAUGAAAUUUCAAUUUUGUUACUUUAGUUUAAGCUUGCUAAAUGUGAGCACAUUUUAUCUAACUGUUACUCAUAGAGGUGGCAAAUGGAAUGUUUGGGCAGCUAAUGUCCAACCCUGUCAUUACAUUACAAUAAAAAUAAAAUGAAGAGCAGAUGUUUGCUCUCUUUGUUGCCAUUGCACACGAAUUUUAAGGUAUCGAUUGUAUAAAUUCUAGUAAAAUAGGGUUUACGUGGAAUCAAAAUUUUUAUGAAAUAAUUGAAAUAUCAAGAAGCUAAAUACUUUGUAUAAAUUUUUAAAUAUUGUUAGCUGGCCACCAUUUCCAACUUUCAAUAAAUAAUUCAGCUUUGUUCCCGGAUCCUUCAAAGUAUCUCCAUACAAAAAAAAAAAAAAAAAAUUAUUUCUUUCAUUAUAAGUAACUUUAUUUUGUUUUGUUGUUUUCUUCUGGUAACUUUAUUUACUAAAGAUAUUGUAUUUUAGGUCGCAUAUUUCAUGUGUUCAUAAUUAUAUUCAUACACUAUUACAAAAAUAAUAUGAAAUAAUAUUUAUUUACUUAAAUAAACUAAUGUAUGAACAAAAUAUUUAUUCUUAUUCAAUGCUUGUCUUGCUGGUGUAAAUAAAACAUACUGCUGAAUAGUUAAUAUAAGUUCUAGUCACAAAAAGUUCUUUUCUUUUAGAAUGACCAAAAUAACUAGUCAUAUUAGCAAAAAAACAAAAUUAGUACAUGAUAAUAAAUUUGUUACGACAUGCUCCAACUUCACGGGGUUCUAUUAUCCGUCUGAAUUACAUUUUAACGUAUUUUUGACAUCCUUUUUAGCUGAUAAGUGUAAUAUUAUAUAUCAGAUUGCAUAAACUUUCUGAAAAUGAAUGCAGAAUCCUCUGUUAAAACUUUUCUAAGUCAAAGAGGAAGAACUUGAAUCGAUUACAUCUCACAUAUCCCCGUAUGAUUUGCUCAAGAUGCUUUAUUGAUGAUCCAUAAUUUAGAGUUAGCGGAUUCAGAAUAUUUGUCGCACUUUUAAAUGAUUGUCAUAUGUAUGUUCUUGUGUCUGUCAGUAUGUGUGUGUUUUCUCACAUGAAGUUGAGUUGAAAGAUGUGAGUUUGGUUGGACACGCUCUAAAUCUGCAUCUGAAUAAUGUGACUUGUCGAACUUCUACUGAUGCUUCUUGUUUCUUCUCAGGGAAGGAGAGUGAUUCUGAUUCAGAAGAAUAUUUUUGGCGGAAGGAUUGAACUCUUGGGAUUUCAUUUCGGUUUCUUUGUCGCAAUGUGUGGUUUCCAAGGGGAUGUGAUCUCUUUUGUAUUGUAAUAUAUUUUUGCGUUCGUAGAAUUUUUAGUAAUAAUACUCAGUUGGACAUUUCUAAAUUUUUAGUUCAUGAGCUCACAACGUAAACAUGAUCACACUCAUUUUAGUUAGUAACGUUAUUUAUUAAAUGAAUGGAAAUGUGCAUUUAUAUGGUGAUUCUCGUGUUACUUUUAACUGUUGAUGUUCUGUUAGCGGCACAGCUAGCAGACAUAAAACCAAAAAGUUUAAAUGGUAAGUGUACUUCAUUGUUGACGGGUUCCAUGGAUCGAUCCAUGUGAGAGUUGAAACCUUUUUAAAGAUUAAACCAUCUAGUACCCCUAUAUUAUGAUUAACCCCCCUGCCCCCGGGCCCGCAAAACUAAAUUUUAGCAUGUCAUUGUCAACCUUUUUGCUAACGUGGCGCCUUUGAAGUGGGUUCUAGUGUCGUAGCAACUUUGAUCAUAGUUUGAGGUGGUACUAGAUGUUUAUCUCUGAAAUAAUGCUGUGUUUAUAAAUGAAGCAUUACCAUCUGAAUUUGAGACUAUCGGGAAGCAGAUUAUAGACAAAUGUCAUUCGGUUGUUGGGAUUUUGUCAAAAUCUAAAGACAUUGGAAGAUUCGAAAAAUGUUGCUGAAGAUGUCAAGUCAUUUGCAACCGAUGAUCCUGAUGAACAACGUUUACAUGUCUUCUGUUUUUCUGAAUUUUUCAAAUACGGCAGUGAGAUUUCAGUGAAGAAAUUGAUGAGAUUAUGGAUAGAUCGGGACACUGCACUCGUUCUGUUCUCUAUUUUGCCAUACAAGUUUAUGUUCUUUUAUCAUAAACUGUGAACCUUAAAUUCAGUUAUGCUAAUGACUUCAAAUGCAAGCAUUUAUGUAAAUCAUAUCCACGCACCCAUUUUUUAGUUACUAUUCAGCAUGCUUUGUUAUUAUUUCACAUCUGUUAUUUCUUUUUUCUUUUUCUUCGUCUAUCGGAAACAACCUUUCUACCUCUGAGGUAGGGGUAAGGUUCGCAUACACUCUACCCUCCCUGGUCAGUCAUUCAUGAAUGUUACUUUUAGUUUUUCUUGAAAAAAACCAAACAACUAAACCUCUUUGCUAAAAUUCCAGCAAGAUGUGUGUUCCCUAGAAGCAAAAAUGCCGAAUUUACCCCCAUGGAUAUUAUCAAGAAGCUGUACAGGCAAAUAUGAUGCAAAAUCUAUGUUCAGAUUCAUUUUCAUCGAUGAAAAUAUUAGCGUGCUAUUUGGAACUACAAAUGUAAUAAGUUUGAUUUCAGAUUCCAACCUAGCCAUGUCUUUUUGUCACAGCGGGAUCGGAAACAAAAUUGAGCUGAAACAUGUUCCCCUGAUUCGCGAAAUCCAACAAGCUUCACGACCACUUCAGCACUUUCGCUUACAUUUUGUGUGUUAAGAGGAUCUGACCAGAGUUUACUCGCAAGCUGUAGCCGUCUCCUCUGUUUAUUUUCUGGUGGAAUGUCCCAUUUCACGUAAAACAUUUCCCUUUCAUCUGCAAUUAGCUUCAAUCUCACCCUUUUCGCUAGAUAUUCCCUCUCCUGCAAUAUUCAAAAGCAAAGCAGUGGUCAGAUACCAAGAGUUGGUAAGUACGUAAACGACAGUGCUCCUGAAAGAAAAUUGUUAUGAUCGGGCAGAAAAUAAGCAAACCACAAGAAAAAGAUAAACAAGAACACACAGAUUUACGUGGAAACCCUUGCGGGAAAAACCACGAGCAGAGGCAAAGGAAGUUUCACUAUAAUGGAGAGAGAGUACAAUGUUGGAGACAAUAGUCUCAAUUUCAUGUAUGUGACAAGAGCCCACUAAUUCGCACUUAUAUAAUACGUGCGUACAAAUAGGUCCUAGGCUCAAAAACAUGACCAUGGGGGCGAAUUGAAAAUCACAAACAUGGGUCGCACCUCGAAACUUUCAGGUCUAGAUCAACAAAAUUCGGGUCACAACUCUAACAAAUAUAUUAUACCUUGAUGAGACAUAGCCAGCAAUCAGGUCAUCACCUAUGAGAGCAGGGAUCGCGUUACCAAGCUUUGCUAAGGUAUGAUUUAACCAUGUCAGCCUCCUAAGCUCUCUAUCCGCUUUAAAUGAGAAAAAUAGUAGAGCCAUCUUACCUUAUUCAUUUGUUUAUCGUUUGAAGGUAAACCAUUAAAUUAAUGUCACAGUACUUCUUUUGCAGCAACCAUAUUUGCAUACAGGCAGACAAGUGCUGCUAACGACAUUUACCAGCACAUCAAAACACAACACCUUCUCAGUGAUAGAACAACAAAAGGAAAUGAUCAAAUCCAUCUGUGAGUGUUUGUGAGUUUGUGAAAUUUGUGUUCCUUUCCUACAGCUAAAGCGUGGGAGUUGCGUUUGAAUCAAACUGACGUUAGCUAAGGAGUCCAUACUGUUUAAACUUUAAAUUUACCAUUAUUCUGUGGCUUCCAAGGAGGUGCAAUUUCUUUCUCUAGAUUUUUAAUAAGGGGACAUUUCUUUACUUUCUUAAACUUCGUGCCAAGACAAAAUCAGAGAAUCAAAUAAAAAUGAAGGGAAAAGACUCAAAUAUGCCAUUGAACUAUUAAAAAUGGUUCAUCUGUGUCAUCAAUUAAAAGUUUUGCUCAUUUAUGUCAUUGCCGUUACAAAACAGGCUCCUUUAUGCCAUUAUUUUUUAACUGGUGUUUUGUAAAACCACCUUUGUCAUGUGGCCUCUUAUUAGAGGUCUGCAUCACCAAAUUAGACUCAGUUAAUAACAUAAUCAUAUUUCAUUUUAGUUUGUCCUAUAUCAAUCAGAUUCAGUAAUGGAAUUUUUUUUAAAAAAAAAAUCCAAUGAAAAUCAUUUAUAAGAAAAUACAAAUACUGUGGGAGGGAGGAGGUGUUGAUUUCGAUGAAAUUGGAAACAGCCAGAAUCAACCAAUCAAACUCCUGACCUUGUAAGCUGAUGAACCUCAUGGACUAACUCCUUCUUAUCUUCCUCAACAUGGGCAACACUAGCCAUAGACAAUCUACUAAGGGAAUCUGCCACUACAUUGGCCUUUUCCGGGUGAUACAAUACACUCAUAUCAAAAUCUUUCAACAACUACAACCACCUUCUCUAAAAAAGAUUCAGCUCCCUUUGAUAAAAUAUAUACUAAAGACUCUUAUGGUCAGAGAAAAUGUCAACAUGAACACCAUAAGGUUAGUGCCUAAAAUUUUCAAGGAAAAAACCACAACAGCUAACUCCAAGUCGUGAGUUGGGUAAUACUUUUCGUGCUCCUUAAGUUGCCUAGAGGCAUAGGCUACCACUCUCUCCUUUUGGAUCAACACACAGGCUAACCGAACCCUGGAAGCAUCACAAUACACUACGAAUCCAUCUAACCCUUCUGGAAAAGCUAACACUAGUGCGAAAGUCAAUCUAUCUUUCAACUCUUGGAAACUCUUCUCACACCUAUCCGACCAUAUAAACUUCUUUUUCUUUUGGGUUAGCUUAGUCAAUGGUGAGUCUAUAGAUGAGAACCCUUCAAUAAAUCUCCUAUAGUAUCUAACCAAACCCAAAAAGCUUAUCAGAUGGAGUGAUGGGUCUAGGCCAGUGCCUCACUGCAUUAAUCUUCUGGGGAUCUAAUGAAUACCAUCCCCUAAAAUGAAAUGAAUCAAGAAAGUAACAUAUUCCAACCAAAACUCACAUUUACCAAACUUCACAUACAAUUGGCAGUCCUUUAGCGUCUGUAGCACUAUUCUCAAAUGAUCUCCAUCUCUUCCUCACUCCUGGAAUACACCAGUAUGUCAUCUAUAAAGACAAUGACAAACAUGUCCAAGUGAAGACCAUUUUCAUUGAUGAAUGAGUUGUUUUUUUCUUUUUUCACAACAAAGCGAUCAAUGGGUUGAAGAUCCUGCCAAUCAAAACAAAAAAGAAGGCAAAGUUGGCAAGCAAACAUAACAAGUGAAAGUAACUCAUCCCCAAAAAUUAAGUUCAACUCUUGAACAAUGUAUCCUCAGCAUAUGCAAAGCUGUUCAUCAAAAUGAACUUGUGUUGACAAAAACUCCAACAUGGAGGCUCUAUACUAGCCACUAGUCCAUGCACAUCCCUUCAAUUACACAAUAAUCCCCGAUAUAUUGAAUAAUAAUUCAUCAAUAGUAUGAAACAAUAUGUAAAAUUAUUGAAGUUGAUGAACUUCAUUGUAAGAGGAGGACAAAGGUGGAUUUAAGAUUUAAAUUUUAUAGGUUCAAAAUAUAAGUGUUUUCUCGUUGACCAAGACCAAAAAUGCAUCCUUUUGGGAAACACAAAGGAUCAUUUAUGUUCAGCAUUAGAUAUCAGGGACAUAAGUGAACCUACUAUUUAAUGUUAAGGGAUCGUUUAGGCUGUUUUCUCAAGAUAAUUGUUCAGAUAGCAUUUCAACCACUAAAAUGUUAUCUUGUUUAGGUACUCUUUAUAUUUUGUUCUUUAUACAUUUGUUUAUUGAUACUCAUAAUAUUGUCAUUUCUUCUAUCCUUUUCUCAAAUAUCUCUCAGUGAAUUUGAAGUUGUAUGAUCUGCCAUUGAAAGAUUAGUUUACCUUAAUUAUUCUCUCAUUUUAUUAAAGUUUUAGAGCAAAAAAAAUACUUGUAGUGGCUUGUCAAUGUAUAACUUAGCUCUUUGUAACAUUGAUUACGUGUUGUAUCCUUCAAAAGUUGUGCAUUUUUCUAAGGAUCUAACACGGGUGUGACAACUUUUUUAAAAGUCGUCCCAGCAACAUAGAAAACACUACCUAAGUAAGCUAAGCGGAGUUUUGAACCACAAUCUUUUUUGCAUACUGGGAUUUGAAUUAUUUUUACGCGUUAAAUGAGCUAAAGCUACUGAGUUUGGGACUGAACUCACUGUUACCAUUACCUGAUCUUAUUUAGUUUAUGCGUGCCUUUUCAGCAAAUCUGUGUAUCUCGUUAUUUGUAAUAUCAUUGACCUCUUGCAACCUGCAGCUUUCAGGUCAUAACCGCAAAGGAACGAAACGAGAAUACAGUAGAUAUGGCUCAUGAAAGUGUGGCUUCUCUUAUGAGAACAAUAGAAUCGCUCUUGACAUCCAAUUCGCCGAUGCCAUCUCUAUCCUGUGAUCAGAGAGAAAAAUUUUGCGCUCUUCGUGAAAAAGUGAGUUCCCUGGAAGUAUUUGUCAAGAACUUUGAGAAAAACAAUGUUUCUGGGGAAAUGACGGAUUUUGAAGUAGAGGUAAAAGAUGUUGCAAGUGCUGCUGAAUACACAAUUCAACUGAGACUAACAGAAACUGUACUGGAGUAAAUAAAAGCCAGAAAAAAAAAAAGGCGCGCCGAAGGUUUCGUCAAAGCCUACAACAAGUAGCAGAGGACAUUGAUCGUAUCUGGAUAGAGUCAACAAAGAUUCAAGAUUAAGGCAAACAAGCAUCAAAGGAAUCAACGGUUCAAGAGUUUCCAAGUUCGUCAAAAGACAUUCUGAAUGUUGAAAACAGUAUGGUUGGACGUGAUGAUCAAAGGGAACACUUGUUAAAGGAUCAGACAGGAGUAGACCCAAAGUCAUCCCGAUUGUCGGGAUGGGAGGCAUAGGUAAAACAACCUUAGCGGAAGAAGUUUACAAUCAUGAAUCAAUUCUAUGCCGUUUUGAUGUUCGUGCCUGGGAUACUAUAUCUCAACAGCACAACGUAAAGGAAAUUUUGCUGAGCCUUCUGCAAUCAACGAUCAAAAUGGAUGACACGGUUAAGACGAAAGGUGAAGCAGAGCUAGCAGACGUGCUGCAAAAAAGUUUAAAGAGAAAGAGAUACUUAAUUGUCUUGGACGAUAUCUGGAGUUGUGAAGUGUGGGAUGGCGUGAGACAAUGCUUUCCGACUAAAGACAAUGCAGGGAGUCGAAUAUUGUUGACGACCCAUAACACUGAAGUAGCUCGCUAUGCUGGUGUAGAGAAUCUUUCUUUGCGGAUGAGCUUCAUGGAUCAAGAUGAGAGUUGGAGUCUUUUCAAAAGUGCAGCAUUGUCAGGUGAAGCAUUACCAUAUGAGUUCGAAGCUGUGGGAAAGCAAAUCGCAGAUGAACGUCACGGGUUACCACUAACUAUUGUCGUGGUUGCUGGACUUCUCAAAUCUAAAAGCAAUAGAAGAUUGGGAAAGUGUUGCUAAAGAUGUCAAGUCAUUCGUCACAAAUGAUCCAGAUGAACGAUGUUCACGUGUGCUUGGGUUGAGUUACGAUCACUUGACAAGCGCCUUGAGCAUGAAUGGCAUCCAAAUGUUAGGAGAUUUGCUCGAUUGAAACUUUUGUUAUCAAAGCAAAUGCCUUUCAGUUUGAGAACUUGAAGGUUCUGAAGAGAAGCAAUUUCUGGUAAAUGCUGAGGAUGCAGGAAAUUCAGGUUUCGAUUAGUAGUGUUUUCUUGUUCUAACUCGUAACAAUCAGUUCGUGAAUUAAAUUAAUAGUUUGAGCUAUUGUCUUCCUUUUGGGAUUAUGUAACGAGACAUUCAAAGUUGAGCGUAUGAACUUGAAAUUUUUUUUAUUAAGUCAAUAAAGCUUAAGUAGAUUAAUACAAACUAAAGAAGAACAAAUGUAGAUAGUGAUUCACAAUGUUACCCCAAAAAAAAAAAAAAUGUAGAUAGUGAACAUAGGGGUAACAAACUCCACUAAGUCAAUAUCUUCUUAUCCGUGACAUCUGAAAAUUGAAAUAAGAUAGUGAGCGUCAAACACUUCUCAAUAAGAAAAAUAUACUUCGGAGAGAGUUGUUAUUGAAAAAAACAUGAAAACUAAUAUAUUAGUGUAGAACUUAGCUUGAAUACCUGUAAGUUGUCUAGAAGCGAUUAUUUCUUCUUCUGUAAUUCCUUUGCCUUCGCUGCUUCUUUCUCCUCGCCGUCAUAAUUUUGUGCUCCAGCUCUUCAAUGAUUCUUUCAAGCCAUUUCAUAUUUCCAGUUGAGAUCAAGAAAUAUAUUAUGGAUAAUCCAAUACAUAGUCCGGUUCCAUACCCCAUAAGAGCUGCUUUCAAAAAAUCAUUCAGAAAUUCAGAGUUGCAUCCAAAUGUUUGUCAAUGAAUGUCUUGGCAAUGAAUGGCAUCCAAAUGUUAGUAGAUUUGCUCGAUUGAAACUUUUGUUAAUUGAUAUUAAUGAUCUCAAGUACUGGAAAGCCACAAAUGACAAUUUUCCUAUCCUUGAGCGCUUGUGCUUAGAAGUUGCUAUAAUUUGAAAGAGAUGCCCAUUCAGUUUGCAGAAAUCGACACACUACAACGGAUUGAGUUAACAAGGUGUCUUCCUGAACUUGGGGGAUCUGCUGCACGAAUUCAAAAAGAACAAGAAGAGCUCGGAAACAACCCCGUGGAUGUUUGUAUCUCCAAUCCAUGUAAGUAUAUAUUUAUCAAGGUGACUUUCUGUUUCUCAUUUACACAAAAGUUAUCCAGCUUUUCCCCAUAUUCUUUCACAAAAUAAUUUCAAAGGCCUCUCCUCAAGUUCCACUUCACAUUGUUGUUGAUCUCCCAUGUGACAUAUAAUACAACCUUACUUAAAUGAACUAAUAGUAUGAACAAAAUAUCUAUUCAUAUUCAUUGCUUGUCUCAUGCAAAAUGAUUUAUUAUAAUGUUAUAGAAAGUCAAAAUUUGAAUAAGAAGCUCAAGAUGUAGGAAAACAUUUAGCUUACAUAUUUUUCAAUUUGGUAUAGUUUUGGAUGAAUGCAUAAAUUAUCUUGUUAGCAUCAAAUAUCGUGUCUCACGCAAAGAGGGCAAAGAUGUGGCCGGUUGAGUUAACUAGGUGGCAAGUGCAAUAUUAUAUAUCAGAUUGCAUAAACUUUCUGAAACUGAAUGCAGAAUCCUCUGUUAAAACUUUUCUAAGUCAAAGAGGAAGGACUCAAGUCGAUUACAUCUCACACAUCCCCGUAUGAUUUGCUAUAGAUGCUUUAUUAACGAUCCAUAAUUUAGAGUUAGCGGAUUCAAAAUAUUUGUCACACUUGUAAAUGAUUGUCAUAUGUGUGUUUUUGUGUCUGUCAGUGUGUGUAUGUGUGUUCUCACAUGAAGUUGAGGUGAAAGAUGUGAGUUUGGUUGAACACGCGCUAAAUGUCCUCACGAAUAAUGUGACUUGUCGAACUUCUACUGACGCUUCUUGUUUCUUGUUAGUGGAGGAGAGUGAUUUUGAUUGAGAAGAAUAUUAGCAAAGGAGUUCAAGGGCAGAAGGAUUGAACUCUUGGGAUUUCAUUUCGGUUCCUCUGUUGCAAAUUACUACUAAAUUAUCGGUUUCAAGCAAUGUGUGGCUUCCAAAGAGAUGUGAUCUCUUUUGUAUUGUAACAAUAUUUUGGAGUUGAUAGAAUUUUUAGUAAUAUUACUCAGUUGGGCAUUACUAAAUUUUUGAGUUCAUGAGCUCACAAUGUAAACACGAUCGCACACUCAUUUUAGUUGGUAACGUUAUUUAUUAAAUGAACGGUAAGGUCCAUUUAUCUGGUGAUUCUCUUGUGUUACUUUUCUACUGUUGAUAUUCCAUUAGCGGCAGAGCUAGCAGACAUGAUACCAAAAUGUUUAAAUGGUAAGAGGUACUUCAUCGCAGACUGGUUUCAUGUGAGAGUUGGAAACUUUAUAAAAAAGCAGUGUUUUGUAAAUGAAGCAUUACCAUCUGAAUCUAGACUAUCGUCAAGCAGAUUAUAGACAAAUGUCAUCUUGGUUGUUGGGAUUUUGUCAAAAUCUAAAGACGUUGGAAGAUUCGAAAAAUGUUGCCGAAGAUGUCAAGUCAAUUGCAACAGAUGAUCCUGAUGAACAACGUUUACACGUCUUCUGUUUUUCUGAAUUUUUCAACUACGGCAGUGAGAUAUCAGUGAAGAAAUUGAUGAGAUUAUGGAUAGAUCAGGACUCUGCACUCAUUCUGUUCUCUUUUUCGCUAUACAAGUUUAUUUUUUUCCUCAUAAACUGUGAACCUUAAAUUCAGUUAUGCUAAUGACUUCAAAUGCAAGAAUUUAUAUAAAUCACAUCCGCGCACCUAUUUUUUUAGUUACUAUUCAGCAUGCUUUGUUAUGAUUUCACAUCUGUUACUUCCUUUUGGAUUGCAUUGAUUUAUUUUUCCUCGUCUAUGGGAAACAGCCUUUCUACCUCUGAGGUAGGGCUAACAUUCAUGAAUUUUACUUAAGUUUUUCUUGAAAAACAACAAACAACUAAAUCUCUUUGCUAAAAUUCCAGCAAGAUGUGUGUUCCCUAGAAGCAAAAAUGCUGAAUUUACCCCCAUGGACUAUUAUCAAGAAGCUGUAUAGGCAAAUAUGAUACAAAAUCUACGUUCAGAUUCAUUUUCAUUGAUGAAAAUAUUAGCGUGCUAUUUGGGACUACAAAUGCAAUAAGUUUGAUUUCAGAUUCUAACCUAGCCAUGUCUUUUUGUCACAGCGGGAUCGGAAACAAAAUUGAGCUGAAACAUGUUCCCCUGAUUCGCGGAAUCCAUCAAGCUUCGCGACUACUUCAGCCCCUUCGCUUACAUUUUGCGUGUUAAGAGGAUCUGAUCAGAGUUCACUCGCAAGCUGUAGCCUUCUCCUCUGUUUACUUUCUGGUGGAGUGUCCCAUGUCACGUAAAACAUUUCCCUUUCGUCUUCAAUUAGCUUCAAUCUCACCCUUUUCGCUAGAUAUUCCCUCUCCUGCUUCAGUGGCUUAAUACCGUAUAUUCAAAAGCAAAGCUGUGGUCAGAUACCAAGAGUUGGUAAUUACGUAAACGACAGUGCUCCUGAAAGAAUAUUGUUAUGAUCGGGCAGAAAAUAAGCAAACCACAAGCAAAAGAAAAACAAGAACACACAGAUUUACGUGGAAACCCUUGCGGGGUUCCAACUCUCAUCUUGAUCCAUAAAGUUCAUCUGCAUAGAAAGAUUCUCUGUACCAGCAUAACAGGCUACUUCGUUGUUACGGGUAGUCAACAGUAUGCAACUCCCUGCAUUGUCUUCAGUUGGAAAGCAUCGUCUCACGCCAUCCCACACUUCACAACUUCAGAUAUCAUCCAAGACAAUUAAGUACCUCUUUCUCUUUACACUUUUCUGCAGCAUGUCUGCUAGCUCUACUUCACCUUUCGUCUUAACCGUGUCAUCCAUUUUGAUCGUCGAUUGCAGAAGGUACAUCAAAAUUUCCUUUAUGUAGUACUUCUUUUGCAGCAACCAUAUUUGCAUAUGGGCAGACAAGUAGUGGGAAUAACUGAAAGUGUUGUUAACGACAUUUACGAGUACAUCAAAACACAACAGCUUCUCAAUGAUAGAACAACAAAAGGAAAUGAUCAAAUCCGUCUUUGAAUGUUUGUGAGUUUGUGACAUUUGUGUUCCUUUCCUACAGCUAAAGCGCGGGAGUUGCAUUUGAUUCACCCUGACAUUAGCUAAGGAGAGUUCAUACUAUUUAAACUUUAAAUUUACCAUUAUUAUGUGGCUUCCAAGAAGAUGCAAUUUCUCUAGAUUUUUAAUAAGGGGGUAUUUCUUUACUGUCUUAAACUUCGUGCCAAGUCAAAACCAGAGAAUCAGAGGUGGAUUUAUUUUUAACCUUUGUCUCCAUUAUUGAAGUUGAUGAACUUUAAACACAACAGCUUCUCAAUGAUAGAACAACAAAAGGAAAUGAUCAAAUCCGUCUUUGAAUGUUUGUGAGUUUGUGACAUUUGUGUUCCUUUCCUACAGCUAAAGCGCGGGAGUUGCAUUUGAUUCACCCUGACAUUAGCUAAGGAGAGUUCAUACUAUUUAAACUUUAAAUUUACCAUUAUUAUGUGGCUUCCAAGAAGAUGCAAUUUCUCUAGAUUUUUAAUAAGGGGGUAUUUCUUUACUGUCUUAAACUUCGUGCCAAGUCAAAACCAGAGAAUCAAAGGUGGAUUUAUUUUUAACCUUUGUCUCCAUUAUUGAAGUUGAUGAACUUUAUUGUAAGAGAAGGACAAAGGCGGAUUUAAGAUUUAAAUUUGACCGGAAUGCAUUAGAUAUCAGGGACCAAAAAUGCAGCCUUUUUGGAAAGAUAAAGGACCAUUUAUGUUCAGCAUUAGAUAUCAGGGACCUAAGUGAACCUACUAUUUAAUGUUAAGGGACCAUUUAGGCUGUUUUCUCAAGAUAAAUUCUUCAGAUAUCAUUUCAGCCACUCAGAUGUUAUCUUGUUUAGGUACUGUGUAUCUUUUGGUUUUUACACAUUUGUUUAUUGUUCCUUUAGAUUCGACAAUCCCAGCCAAUAGUUAGUGGUGACGCUUCCCUUAUGAUCUUGAAUCUUUUUCGGCUCUUCUUGGACACGGUCAAUGUCCUUUGCUACUUGCUUCUCGUAGUCCAAAUUCAAUUGUCUUGAGCGAUAUUUGCAAAAUCUUUUCUUCAGGCUUCCAAAUCUGUCAUUUCCCCAUAAUCACUGAUUUGUUUCUCAGUGUUCUUGAGAAACAAAUCAGUGAUUAUGAGGUACAAUUCGAAGGGGAUCUCUGGAAUAAACGGAUUCAAGCAGUGAAAAUAACAUUUUGCAGAAUUCAAGGUAAAACUGCAUACGAUAAGCCCUAGUCGUUCGGUCCUUCGCGGGAGCUUUAAUGCAUUUAGCUGCCAUUUUAUAAAGGCACAAUACAUAAACAUGCCUUUUAACUUGGAAUCAAAUGACAUCUAUGAUCUCAAACUUUGGGUGUGCACAAGUAGACAGGUUGUCCAUACCAUUUUUCAAAUGGUGUCUUCCCACCAAUUGCAGCAGAUGGUAGACUAUUAAUAAUAUGGCACGCAUAUGUUAUUGCCUCAGCCCAGAAUUCAUUGCCCAAGCCAGCAUUGGAGAACAUACAACGUACCUUCUCCAGCAAAGUACGGUUCAUGCGUUCUGCCACUCCAUUUUGUUGUGGUGUAUGUCUGACAGUGAAGUGUCUGACGAUGCCAUUAUCUUCACAGACCUUGUUGAAAAUAUCAUUCUUGUAUUAACCUCCAUUAUCUGUGCGAAGACUCUUGAUUUUUCUGCCUGUUUGAUUUUCUAUCAUCGUCUUCCAUUUGGCAAAAAAUUCCAACACUUCAUCUUUUGUUUUCAUGGUAUACACCCAUACUCUUCGAGAAAAGUCAUCAACAAAGGUUACAAAAUAGUGUUUCCCACCUAAUGAAGGUGUUUUGGAAGCACCCCAAACAUCAGAAUGUACAUAAUCCAAAAUACCUUCAGUAUUAUGGAUAGCUGUACCAAAUUUAACCCUUGUUUGCUUUCACUUCACACAAUGUUCACAAAAUUCUAAGUUUCCAGAUUUAAGGCCUUUUAACAAUCCUUGAUCUGAUAGAAUUUUCAAGGAUUUGCCUCCAGCAUGUGCCAAGCACAUAUGCCAUAGCCUGGUUGCUUCUGCCUCUUUGUCAGCACUGGAUGUUAUUGUUGCUGUCCCAAUAAUUGUACUGCCAUGAUAAUGGUACAAAUUAUUGUUCUUUCGAUUAGCCUUUAUUACCACUAGUGCACCGAAGUAUAUCUUCAUCAAUCCAUUUCCUGUAACAAUUUUGAGCAUUUUUGAAUCAAGGGUUCCCACAUAAAUGAGAUUCUUCUUCAAAUCCGAUACAUAUCAAACAUCUGUUAAUGUUCUGAUCACUCCAUCAUGGUUCCUCAAACGUAUUGAACCAAUUCCAUAUGCGGUAACAGGACUAUUGUCUGCUGUGUGGAUAACUCCAAAUUCUCCUUCUUCAAAAUCAACGAACCAGUCCCGAUUGGGACACAUAUGAUGGCUAUAAGCCGAGUCAAUCAGCCAUACAUCUGAUGGUUUUGAUGACUUUGCUGUAACCAAUGAGAAAUCUGAGUCGUCAUAAUCAGCUAUAUUUGAAUCCAUUACCGCCUUCCCUUUGUUAGGUUUGGUCUUAUUCUUCAAUUUUGGACAGUCCUUCUUCCAGUGCCCUUUUUCUCGACAAAAGACACAUUCAUCUUUGCUAGGUCUGGACUUUGACUUGGAUCUUUCCUUCUUUGUUCUCGUUUGAUCUUGAGAAUGUCCUCUCGUUACUAGUGCUUCUUCUUCUUCGCUCUUCUGUUUCUCUUUCUUUUUUUGUUCAUAGCUGUUCAAAGCUGAACAAAAUUCUUUCAGAGAAACUUCUUCCCUCCCAUGAAGUAGAGUAGUUUCAAGAUGCUCAUACUCAUAGGGAAGUGACCCCAACAACAUCAACGCUAGAUCACCAUCAAUAAAAGUUACAUCCAUAUUUUGCAAAUCUGUAACUAAUUUAUUGAAAUUGGCGAUAUGAUCAUUUAUUGUGGUACCAGGAACAUAGGUGAAGUGAAAUAUUUUUUUCUUCAGAAAAAGUUUAUUCUGAAUAUUUUUCUUCAAAAAUUUAUCCUCCAAUGCCCUCCACAAUUUACUUGCAGAAGUUUCCUUUGUGAAUGGAUACUUCUGUUCUCUUCCAAGGAAGGACCGAAUGGUACCACAAGCAACACGGUUGACGUAUUUCCAAUCUGCAUCUUCAAUAUUUUCUGGUUUUUCUUCUUCUAAGGCAAGAUCUAAUCCUUGUUGAAAAAGGACAUCUUCAACCUCGCAUCCCCACAUCCCAAAGUGUCCUGUUCCAUCAAAAAUUUCAACUACAAAUUUCCCAUUUGUAUGAAUUCUUGACAUAAGCGAAGAUACCAACGACGUGUUAUUGACACCUGACGUGGACACCUUUGUCAUGUCUGAGCUGGAUACUUCUUGAUUUCCCUCCCAUUUUGUUCUAUAAAUACUAUUUAAUAGCUGGCUCUACACAGACCAAGAUAAUUCUUUUCUGGUGUGGAAGAUCAGACUACGCCGCAACCACCGAGCAUACUAAGAAAAAAUCUUGACAAUACAGACCCAAGAAAAUAUCCUUUCUAAUGUGGAAGAUCAGGCUAUGCUGCAACCACAGAGCAUACUCAGACAAAGUCCAGGCUUUGAUACCAAUUGUUGCCGAAACAGACUGGGUAGAGUGCGAUUAUUGCACAACUACUACUCCAAAAUAAAAGCCACAAAAAAUAGUAAAAGAGGAAAAAUAAAAAGAACACUAAAUUUACGAGGUUCGAUAAAAAUGUUUUACCUACGUCCUCAGACACAACUGACCAAAUUUUAUUCCACUCCAAAGAUACAAGUGAAAUAUUACAAAAGAGAGAAAAAUCAAAAUGCCUUAAGAAGAUAAGAAGGCAAUUGUCAAAGUUGUGUUUAAAACUAAAACAUUUGGGUUCCUUUUAUAGGGAGGAAGGAACCCUCAUUUUACUUCACAUCCGAUGUGGGAUAUUUCCCACUUUCAACAAAGAAGACCUCGGAAACAACCCCAUGGAUGUUCGUAUCUCCAAUCCAUGUAAGUAUAUCUUAUUUAUCAGGGUCACACUCUGUUUCUCAUUUCCACAAGUCAAGUCGUACACAAAGUUAUGGCCUCUUAAAUAUACUUUUGAGCAGUUUUGAUACUUUAGUUUAAGCUUGCUAAAUGUGAGCAUAUUUGGUCUAAUUGUUACAUAUACGGGUGGAGAAUGGACUGUUCUGGCUUAAGUUGGGAGGGUUAAGAUGGGUUGAACGAACAAAUGGGCUAUUGAGUAGAUGUUUGCACUCUUUGUUGUCAUUGCACACUAAUUUUAAGCUAUCGAUUAUAUAAAUUCUAGUAAAAUGAGGUUUACUUGGAUUCAACUCUUUUAUGAAAUAAUUGAAAUAUCAAGAAGUAUAUAUUUAUCAAGGUUACAUGCUGUUUCUCAUUUCCACAAGUCACAUCAUACAGAUGUUGAUGAAGAAUAUUCAGAUGUUGAUGUGGCAGAAGAUGAUGAUAAUGAAGAUUCUAAUGCUGAUGCUGCAAAACAUGAUGAUAAUUACGAUCUUAAUUGGUUGGUUGAUGUUCAGAAUAACCUGUAAUGUAAAGGGAAACAAUGGAUAACAAUUUGAUACUGUUAUAGACUACUGAUGCUAGUUCAGCACACUAUGUUUAUUCAUAAAUGUAAAUGUAUUACAUUCUUUGGUUUUAUAGAGUCUACGAAGCCUGUUGUGCUAUAUCCCAUAUAGAAAUUAAUUAUUUUUUUAAAAAAUACAUAUAAUAGUCUACGAAGCCUGUUGUGCUAUAUCCCAUAUAGAAAUUAAUUAUUUUUGUAAAAAAUACAUAUAAUAUUGUCAAAAAAAAUAUAUAAAAAAAAAAAUUGAACAAUCAUCUUUUUGAUAUAUUAUCCCUAUGGUCUUUAUAGGGCACUUGAGAGAUCAUGACAACUACCAUCUUUUGAAACCAACCCAUUCUAUUUUUUCUUUUGGUUUUUUAUGAUUCAAUUUUUAUGCUUGAAUCAGAGCUUAUUCAUUUCAAAUUACUCAAAAGUCUUGGAGUCGAGACACAUAGAGAUUGAUAAUUUCCCUCUACAGAUACUAAGCCUCUUCUGGUUGAUGUAAUUGUUAAAGUGUUGAUCGAUCAUUUGUAACUUGUCCAGUGCAAAUUUGGGGACUAAUGCAAUUAAGGUAUCUCAAAUUGCCCUGAUUUUAUUUGCCAGAUUGCCCAAGUGGAUCUGUUGACAAAGGGAGCCACUUGGAUUCUUCAAACUUACCAACUAUUUCAUACUUGUCUCCACGUUGUUGCACGAAGGAGGUUAUUAUGGGGAUUCAGAAUGUUAAAAAAUUAGAAAUCCAAAACUUUUUGUUUAUCAGAAAUGAUAAAAAAGAAACCGUUCCUCUUGUGGGCUGUCGAUUGAUUAGCAUACAGAAAGGGCAUUGCUUCCUUUUGUAAGAGGCACUUGAUGGCUAUAAAUACCUGUAUUUUUGAGAAUUAGACACAGGUGUGACAACCUUCUUAAAGAGUUCCAGCAACAUAGAUAUAUAGUACAAGUCUGUAUUUAUAAUAGAUCCAAAAAUCAUCCUAAGAAAACAUUACUAAGUAAGCAAAGCGGAGCCAGGAUUUUUAGUCUAUGGGUUCUGAACCGUAAUUUUUUUUUGGGAGUUAAAUAUUUUCACACACUAAAGAAGAUACAGCUACUGAGUUUUUCCGAAUACAUUGAAUCCCUUCCACGUGAAGGAGUGAACCCGACCACUUCACGCUGAAGGUCAUACUGGUCUACGAACCACCUUUCACUUGGAUUUGUCCUUCCCGACCUCUCUUAAGCCCAUAAACGAUCGUUUAGGUAGAAUUAAGGCUGUCUCUGUCCCUGUCAGUAAGGACCAUUUAGCACCAACAUAGCAACUGUAGAAUGCUGUGCGACUCGUUUGCCGCUCUGCGACAGUGAUUACCAAGAAUAUUGCCUUAAAAACUCAUUUGUUGUAUCUCUCUCAUGUAUUGUUAUAUCAGUUGAAAUUCUAAUUCACUUCUUGAUUAUUUAUGUGAUGAGCUAUAGAAAUGGACCUUUGACCUAACUCAGCGCAGAAGCUAGCUGAAGAGGUGAGGAUUGCCGGAUAUCAUAUAAAGAGGCCGAAUGCUCCCUAACCAUGAUAAAUUACUCAAGGGGAUAUGAUCUCUUUCGUAUUGUAACAUAUUUUUGAGUUCAUAGAAUUUUUAGUAAUAUUACUCAGUUGGGCAUUACUAAAUUUUUUAGUUCAUGAGCUCACAAUGCUUAACACGAUCGCACACUCAUUUUAUUUGGUAACGUUAUUUAUUAAAUGAACGGAAAUGUGCAUUUAUAUGGUAAUUCUCUUGUUUUAGUUUGAAAGCAAUUACUGAAAUUUCAUUUCGGAAUAUAGCUAGAAGGAUUGAAGUUCAAGGAUUUCAUCAUAGUUCUUACUGUUUGAAUUUUAAAUUUACCAUUACAUUACCAUGUUUUAGUAUUAUUCUCUCGCUUUCUCUAUAUUUUAAAUAAGGGACAUCUAUUUCUCGACUACUUUGAAAUGAUUUGCGUACACUCUACCAUCUCCAGAUCCCACUACGUGUAUAAAGCACUAUACAUUUUUUUCCAAGUGCACCCUUUUUUACAGAGAUAAAGGACCAUUUAUGUUCAACAUUAGAUUACAGGAACCUAAGUGAACCGACUAUGUAAAGUUAAGGGACUGUUUGGGCUGAUAAAUUUAGCAGAUAUCAUUUCAGCCACUCAAAUUUUAUCUUGGUUAGGUACUCUUUUAUCUUUUGACUCAUAAUAUUGUCAUUUCUUCUAUCCUUUUCUCAAAUAUCUCUUGCAGUGAUUUUGAAGCUGUCUGAUCUGCCAUUGAAAGGCUAGUUUCCAUUAAUUAUUCUCUCAUUUUAUUAAAGUUAUAGAGCAAAAACAAUACUUCUCUCAUUAAUGUAUAGUUAUGUUGCUCGAAAUCCUCAAAAAUAACGUUGAUUACGUGUUGGAUCCUUCAAACGUUGAGCAUUUUUUUAAGGAUCUGACAUGGCUGUGGCAACUUUUUUAAAGAGUCGUCCCGGCAACAUAGAAAACAUUACCUAAGUAAGCAAAUCAGAGUUUUGAACCACAAUCUUUUUUGCUUACUGGGAAUUAAAUUAUUUUUACGCGUUAAAUGAGCUAAAGCUACUGAGUUUGGGACUGAACUCACUGUCACCAUUACUUGAUCUUCUUUAGUUUAUGUGUGCCUUUUCAGCAAAUCUGCGUAUCUUGUUAUUUGUAAUACCAUUGAUCUCUUGCAACCCUGCAGGUUUCAGGUCAUAACAACAAAGGAAAGAAACGAGAAUACAGUAGAUAUGGCUCAUGCAAGUGUGGCUUCUCUUAUGAGAACAAUUGAAUCGCUCUUGACAUCCAAUUCUCCGAUAAAAUCUCUAAUCCCAAACCGAAAACUUUGCGCUCUUCGUGAAAAGGUUAGUUCCCUGGAAGUAUUUCUCAAGAACUUUGAGAAAAACAAUGUUUUUGGAAAAAUGACGGAUUUUGAAGUAGAGGUAAAAGAAGUUGCAAAUUCUGUUGAAUACACAAUUCUACUAAAGGUAACAAAAACUAUAAUGGAAAAAAAUAAAAGCAUCAUAGGAAUCACUGGCUCAAGAUUUUUCAAUGGAAUCUCAAAUAUAUGGACAUGCCGAAAGUUCCGUAAAAGCCUUCAACAAAAGUUCCGUAAAAGCCUUCAACAAUUAGCAAAGGACAUUGAUCAUAUCUAGAAAGAGUCAACAAAGAUUCAAGAUAAAGGAAGACAAGUGUCAAAGGAAUCAUUGGUUCAUGAUUUCUCAAGUUCAACAAACAAUAUUCUGAAUGUUAACAAUAAUAUGGUUGGACGUGACGAUCAAAAUGAACGCUUGUUAGAAGAUCUGACGGUAAGUUACUCUGGUGAACCCAAAGUCAUCCCGAUUGUCGGGAUGGGAGGCAUAGGUAAAACAACCUUAGCGAAAGAAGCUUACAAUCAUGAAUCAAUUCUACGCCGUUUUGAUGUUCGUGCCUGGGCUACUGUAUCUCAACAGCACAACAUAAAGGAUAUUUUGUUGAGCCUUCUGCAAUCGACCAUCAAAAUAGAUGACAAGGUUAAGGAGGAAGGUGAAGCAAAGCUAGCAGACAUGCUGCAGAAAAAUUUAAAGAAAAAGAGGUACUUAAUUGUCUUGGAUGAUAUCUGGAGUUGUGAAGUGUGGGAUAGUGUGAGACGAUGCUUUCCAACGGAAGACAAUGCAGGGAGUCGAAUACUGUUGACUACCCGUAACAACGAAGUAGCUCGCGAUGCUGGUACAGAGAAUCUUUCUAUGCAGAUGAACUUCAUGGAUCAAAAUGAGAGUUGGAACCUUUUUAAAAGUGCAGCAUUUUCAAAUGAAGCAUUGUCAUCUGAGUUUGAGACUAUUGGGAAGAAAAUCGCAGAGAAAUNNNNNNNNNNNNNNNNNNNNNNNNNNNNNNNNNNNNNNNNNNNNNNNNNNNNNNNNNNNNNNNNNNNNNNNNNNNNNNNNNNNNNNNNNNNNNNNNNNNNNNNNNNNNNNNNNNNNNNNNNNNNNNNNNNNNNNNNNNNNNNNNNNNNNNNNNNNNNNNNNNNNNNNNNNNNNNNNNNNNNNNNNNNNNNNNNNNNNNNNNNNNNNNNNNNNNNNNNNNNNNNNNNNNNNNNNNNNNNNNNNNNNNNNNNNNNNNNNNNNNNNNNNNNNNNNNNNNNNNNNNNNNNNNNNNNNNNNNNNNNNNNNNNNNNNNNNNNNNNNNNNNNNNNNNNNNNNNNNNNNNNNNNNNNNNNNNNNNNNNNNNNNNNNNNNNNNNNNNNNNNNNNNNNNNNNNNNNNNNNNNNNNNNNNNNNNNNNNNNNNNNNNNNNNNNNNNNNNNNNNNNNNNNNNNNNNNNNNNNNNNNNNNNNNNNNNNNNNNNNNNNNNNNNNNNNNNNNNNNNNNNNNNNNNNNNNNNNNNNNNNNNNNNNNNNNNNNNNNNNNNNNNNNNNNNNNNNNNNNNNNNNNNNNNNNNNNNNNNNNNNNNNNNNNNNNNNNNNNNNNNNNNNNNNNNNNNNNNNNNNNNNNNNNNNNNNNNNNNNNNNNNNNNNNNNNNNNNNNNNNNNNNNNNNNNNNNNNNNNNNNNNNNNNNNNNNNNNCCAUAAGAAUUUAGACAUACCUCCAGAAAUUUGCAGGUUAUGGAAUCUGCAGACAAUCAUUGUUCAAGAGCAUCCUGGUCGAACAGUUAAAAUAACUUGUCCAGAGGAAAUUUGGGGACUAAUGCAAUUAAGGAAUCUCAAACUGGCGGCCGAAUUUUAUCUGCCAAAUCCCCCCAGCGUAUCUGCUGACAAAGGGAGUCACAUGGGUUUUUCAAACAUACAAACUAUUUCUUGCUUGUCUCCAGGUUGUUGCACGAAGGAGGUUAUUAUGGGGAUUCAGAAUGUCAAGGAAUUAGGAAUCAGUAAUAAUGGGCAUUUCAACAAUCUUGUCCAUCUGCAGCAACUAACAUUGAGUCUUAUGGGCUUCUCAACAUUUUGUUUUUUGCCAGCAAGUGCAAAAGCUUUUCCAGCAACGCUCAAGAAGCUGAAGUUGGAGGGAACUUUGCUAAGUUGGUCGUACUUGGACAUCAUAGCUGAGUUGCCUAAGCUUGAGGUGCUCAAGCUGGUGUUUAAUGCUUGUGAUGGUGAAGAAUGGCAUCCAAAUGUCAAGGGAUUUACUCGAUUGAAGGUUUUGUUAAUUGAAUAUAAUGAUCUCAAGUACUGGAAAGCCACAGAUGAUAAUUUUCCUGUCCUUGAGCGCCUUGUGCUCAACGUGUGCAGAUAUUUGAAAUAGAUACCUAUUGAGUU
This 36719-nucleotide long non-coding RNA is filed under the name Capsicum annuum. RNAcentral's name for it is "long non-coding RNA (CANN_LNC020215)". The record is from RNAcentral. Lineage: Eukaryota; Viridiplantae; Streptophyta; Magnoliopsida; Solanales; Solanaceae.